UGGGAAAAGCCCAGCGCUGAAUCUUUCGAUGUUACAUCGUAAAGAAAUGUAGCGUAUAGGUGUAGUUAUCGGUUUGUUUGGCGUAUCAAAGUUCCUUUGAUAGGGGCCAUAUUCCAGAGAGGGUGCGAGACCUGUGCGGAUAGCGGAACAUGCCGUAUGAUUAUACCUUGGAGUCGGGUUGCUUGAAAGUGCAGCCUUAAGUGGGUGAUAAACUUCAUCUAAGGCUAAAUACGGACGCGAAUUCGAUAGCAAACAAGUACUGUGAAGGAAAGUUGCAAAGAACUUUGAAGAGAGAGUUCAAGAGAACGUGAAAUCGUUGAAGUGGAACCGGAGAGAGUUGACGUAGUAUGGUGGAUAAGUAUUGCAAGAAUCGCUUCAAAAAAUGUGAACGUGAUCGAGCAGUAUGUAUGUCACCAAUGACUGCGCUGACAGCAUCGACUACACGCUCUGAACCGUGUUGACCUGUUGCCUACUCUAGUAUAUAGAGUGGUGUCUUGUGUUACGUGGUGAAGUUUGUUGUUAUGUUGAUGUUGAUACGAGGAGCAUAAUUAUACGACGAGUAUUAAUUAUGUGUGUCAGUGUAAAAGUCGACCACCUCUCCGACCCGUCUUGAAACACGGACCGAGGAGUGUAACUUGUACGCGAGUCAAUGGGUGAAAAACCUUAAGGCGAAAUGAAAGUGAAGGCACGGUUAACCGGCUGACAUGGGAAACGUCCGGCGGCUUGUGUUGACGAGACGUUACACCAUGGCCCUGUCUUGUCUGCAUGCAGAUGGGCAGCGGUAGAGCGUACAGGUUGCGACCCGAAAGAUGGUGAACUAUGCCUGAGCAGGACGAAGCCAGAGGAAACUCUGGUGGAAGUCCGUAUCGGUUCUGACGUGCAAAUCGAUCGAUAGACUUGGG
This 902-nucleotide ribosomal RNA is filed under the name Crenosoma vulpis. RNAcentral describes it as "partial large subunit ribosomal RNA". It matches the Rfam family "Eukaryotic large subunit ribosomal RNA", at positions 99 to 915 of the family's 3401-position model. Lineage: Eukaryota; Metazoa; Nematoda; Chromadorea; Rhabditida; Crenosomatidae. The record is from RNAcentral.